GACGAACGCUGGCGGCGUGCUUAACACAUGCAAGUCGAACGGAAAGGUCCUGCUUUUGUGGGGUGCUCGAGUGGCGAACGGGUGAGUAACACGUGAGUUACCUGCCCUUGACUUUGGGAUAACUUCAUGAAACUGAGUCUAUUACCGGAUAGGAGCUCCUGCUGCAUGGUGGGGGUUGGAAAGUUUCGGCGGUUGGGUAUGGACUCGCGGCUGAUCAGCUUGUUGGUGGGGUAGUUGCUUACCAAGGCUGUGCCGGGUAGCCGGCCGGUGAGGGAGACCGACCAGAUAGAGACUGAGUGACAGACCAGACUCAUACGGGAGGCAGGAGGGGGUAAGAAUGAACAGAGGGCGGAAGCCUGAUGCAUCAAGGACUCGUGCGUGAUGGCGGCCUUCGUGAGUAAACCGCUUCCGCCUGUGACGAAGUGUGAGUGACGGUAAUGGGUAAAGAAGCACCGGCUAACUACGUG
Molecule: ribosomal RNA, 467 nt
Filed under: uncultured bacterium
Lineage: Bacteria
Description: partial 16S ribosomal RNA
Rfam family: Bacterial small subunit ribosomal RNA
Source: RNAcentral